Molecule: transfer RNA, 72 nt
Filed under: Camelus dromedarius (Arabian camel)
Lineage: Eukaryota; Metazoa; Chordata; Mammalia; Artiodactyla; Camelidae
Also listed under: 1 other name
Rfam family: tRNA
About the family: Transfer RNA (tRNA) molecules are approximately 80 nucleotides in length. Their secondary structure includes four short double-helical elements and three loops (D, anti-codon, and T loops).
Source: Rfam by way of RNAcentral
GAGGGUAUGGCUCAGUGGUAGAGCGCAUGCUUAGUGUGCACAAGGUCAUGGGUUCGAGCCCCAGUACCUAUG